GGGAAUGCGGGGACGGAAGCGGCGGUAAUGCGGAGGGUGGAAGCGUUAAGCGGAAUUAAUGGGCGGAAAGCGGAGGCAGGCGGGUGGAUAAGUGAGAUGGGAAAGGCCCGGGCUCAACCUGGGAAGUGCAUUUAAAGCUGUCCAGCUAGAGUCUGGUAGAGGGGGGUAGAAUUCCAGGUGUAGCGGUGAAAUGCGUAGAGAUCUGGGGGAAUACCGGUGGCGAAGGCGGCCCCCUGGACAAAGACUGACGCUCAGGUGCGAAAGCGUGGGGAGCAAACAGGAUUAGAUACCCUUGUAGUC
This 300-nucleotide ribosomal RNA is filed under the name uncultured Saccharothrix sp. Its description in RNAcentral is "bacterial SSU rRNA". It matches the Rfam family "Bacterial small subunit ribosomal RNA", at positions 496 to 795 of the family's 1533-position model. The record is from RNAcentral. Lineage: Bacteria; Bacillati; Actinomycetota; Actinomycetes; Pseudonocardiales; Pseudonocardiaceae.